UGGUGCUUGCACCUGAUUGACGAUGGAUCACCAGUGAGUGGCGGACGGGUGAGUAACACGUAGGUAACCUGCCCCGGAGCGGGGGAUAACAUUUGGAAACAGAUGCUAAUACCGCAUAACAACAAAAGCCACAUGGCUUUUGUUUGAAAGAUGGCUUUGGCUAUCACUCUGGGAUGGACCUGCGGUGCAUUAGCUAGUUGGUAAGGUAACGGCUUACCAAGGCGAUGAUGCAUAGCCGAGUUGAGAGACUGAUCGGCCACAAUGGAACUGAGACACGGUCCAUACUCCUACGGGAGGCAGCAGUAGGGAAUCUUCCACAAUGGGCGCAAGCCUGAUGGAGCAACACCGCGUGAGUGAAGAAGGGUUUCGGCUCGUAAAGCUCUGUUGUUGGAGAAGAACGUGCGUGAGAGUAACUGUUCACGCAGUGACGGUAUCCAACCAGAAAGUCACGGCUAACUACGUGCCAGCAGCCGCGGUAAUACGUAGGUGGCAAGCGUUAUCCGGAUUUAUUGGGCGUAAAGCGAGCGCAGGCGGUUGCUUAGGUCUGAUGUGAAAGCCUUCGGCUUAACCGAAGAAGUGCAUCGGAAACCGGGCGACUUGAGUGCAGAAGAGGACAGUGGAACUCCAUGUGUAGCGGUGGAAUGCGUAGAUAUAUGGAAGAACACCAGUGGCGAAGGCGGCUGUCUGGUCUGCAACUGACGCUGAGGCUCGAAAGCAUGGGUAGCGAACAGGAUUAGAUACCCUGGUAGUCCAUGCCGUAAACGAUGAGUGCUAGGUGUUGGAGGGUUUCCGCCCUUCAGUGCCGGAGCUAACGCAUUAAGCACUCCGCCUGGGGAGUACGACCGCAAGGUUGAAACUCAAAGGAAUUGACGGGGGCCCGCACAAGCGGUGGAGCAUGUGGUUUAAUUCGAAGCUACGCGAAGAACCUUACCAGGUCUUGACAUCUUGCGCUAACCUUAGAGAUAAGGCGUUCCCUUCGGGGACGCAAUGACAGGUGGUGCAUGGUCGUCGUCAGCUCGUGUCGUGAGAUGUUGGGUUAAGUCCCGCAACGAGCGCAACCCUUGUUACUAGUUGCCAGCAUUAAGUUGGGCACUCUAGUGAGACUGCCGGUGACAAACCGGAGGAAGGUGGGGACGACGUCAGAUCAUCAUGCCCCUUAUGACCUGGGCUACACACGUGCUACAAUGGACGGUACAACGAGUCGCAAGCUCGCGAGAGUAAGCUAAUCUCUUAAAGCCGUUCUCAGUUCGGACUGUAGGCUGCAACUCGCCUACACGAAGUCGGAAUCGCUAGUAAUCGCGGAUCAGCAUGCCGCGGUGAAUACGUUCCCGGGCCUUGUACACACCGCCCGUCACACCAUGGGAGUUUGUAACGC
RNAcentral lists this ribosomal RNA (1375 nucleotides) under Limosilactobacillus reuteri. Its description in RNAcentral is "bacterial SSU rRNA". It matches the Rfam family "Bacterial small subunit ribosomal RNA", at positions 49 to 1420 of the family's 1533-position model. Lineage: Bacteria; Bacillati; Bacillota; Bacilli; Lactobacillales; Lactobacillaceae. The record is from RNAcentral.